UUGAAGUCGCCCAAACAAUAAAAUGCAAAAUGGCUCCAUAGCGCCCCCUAAGGUGGAAAUUCACACUAUUGACUGUCACGUCUGUACGUUUUGUCAUAUUGACACAAAAAUUGACACACAUAUGUAUCUCAAUAAGAUCUACAAAAAAGUCAGUGCGGGCGUAUCUGUCAAAUGUACGGUUAAAGGGUUAUUUCGCAUUUUUUGCCGAUCCGCACACAUUGGAAUUUCGCUAACUCCUCCGAAGGCUUUCGUUCCACCGGCACCACAUUUGCUCAGGCCAGUCUACACCCCAUGGCCAUUAAAAGUUGUACAAAUCAUGACGCUGCACCCCACGGUUUAGGUUCUAGGGGGCGCCAAAGAUAACCCAAAAAUCCACAUUCUUUAAAGUCUUAUAACUUUUUAUUUUUGUCCUCACUGCCCUCCAAGUUUUCUAGGAUGAUGCAAUGUCCAGCCAUCAACACAUUUGUGAAGGAAUUUUUACUCCCCAAAAGAGCGCCCCCCCAUGGCAGGAGAAAAAAGUCAAUUUUUUCUUGUCCCCUUACAUGAAAAUACACAUUGUUGAGUGUCACGCCUGAACGCUUUGUCAUAUUGACACAAAAAUUGACACACACAUGUAUCUCAAUAAAAUCUACGAAAAAGUCAAAGAGCGCGUAUCUGUAUAAUGUACGGUUAAAGGGCUAUUUCGCAUUUUUUGCCGAUUCGCACACAUUGGAAUGUGGCUAUCUCCUCCUAAGGCUUUCGUCCCACUGAUACCAAAUUUGCUCAGGGCAAUCUACACCCCAUGCCCAUUCAAAGUUGUAAAAAUCAUGACGCUGCACCCCACGGUUUACGUUCUAGGGGGCGCCAAAGAUGACCCAAAAAUCCACAUUCUUAAAAGUCAUUUUGGCCACUGCAGGAGUACAGAGUACUGCAGUUCUAGGGGGCGCCAAAGAUGACCCAAAAAUCCACAUUCUUAAAAGUCUUUUUGGCCACUGCAGGAGUACAGAGUACUGCAGGAUACACACACAUAUACACACACGCCAACACACACACACACACACACACACACACACACACACACACACACACACACACUCAGAGUCUGGUUUUUAGCACCUGCAAAAACAUGCUGUUUACAUAUUUGACAAGAAUGCAGAGGCUUCCUUUUGCCCCUGACAAAAAUCAAAUUUCAAACACAACUUGACUGUUCAUUUCUCCAAAAGACAACCAUGAAGCUCCAUCCAAACCUGAAGCAGAUAGUUGGUGCAUGUGUACAGUAACCUGAGGGGAGUGAGGUGACUAUUUCUGAGGAGAACAUGAGCAGUGAAGAUUCACCUUGGAGCUAGAACAGGGACGUGCACAUGAUUAUACAGGGGCAGGGGCUCAAGUUUUUUCCAGUCAUUUAUACAAUAUGGAAAUUAAUGUGAAAUUAAAAAACAAAGUAUUAAUAGAAAGGUUAUGACUGUCCUGUGUAGAUGACAGUGAUAUCCAAUAGGCUAGGCACUCACGAGGCUGGCUGUGGCAAGUGUAAGUGAAAGCAACACGCACUGGCAGGAAGAACAGCAAACGCCGAUGAAGGAAAGGGUCUUUGCAGUGAUGGGCGUUACCAGAGAGGACGAUGGCCAGAGGACGCGAAUGGGACGGGGAGGCAGCGCGUUGGGGGGGGCAGCGCGACACGGCUCGGGCCCGCCAGUGCCCCAACGGGGCCCUAGUUAGGGCCCGAGCGUAGCUGCUAAGCAGCUGCGAGAGCCCUCUUGUUCCUGUAGUUUCCUUCUUUAGGGCCCGAGCGUAGCUGCUAAGCAGCUGCGAGAGCCCUCUUGUUCCUGUAGUUUCCUUCUUUUGUUAUUAUUAUUAUUUUUCCUCCCCUUUGAACUGGAAAAUGGCCCACUUCCCACUGGCGAAAACUCAUGAAAUUUGGCAGGACGACCGGGCCUGGUGAAAAAUUUGAUAUUCCGAAGUCGCCCAAACAAGAAAAUGCAAAAUGGCUCCAUAGCGCCCCCUAAGGUGAAAAUUCACACUAUUGACUGUCACGCCUGUACGCUUUGUCAAAAUGACACAAAAAUUGACACACACAUGUAUCUCAAUAAGAUCUACAAAAAAGUCAGUGCGGGCGUAUCUGUCAAAUGUACGGUUAAAGGGUUAUUUCGCAUUUUUUGCCGAUCCGCACACAUUGGAAUUUCGCUAACUCCUCCGAAGGCUUUCGUUCCACCGGCACCACAUUUGCUCAGGCCAAUCUACACCCCAUGGCCAUUAAAAGUUAUUCAAAUCAUGACGCUGCACCCCACGGUUUAGGUUCUAGGGGGCGCCAAAGAUAACCCUAAGAUCCACAUAUUUAAAAGUCUAAUAACUUUUUAUUUUUGCCGUCACUGGCCUCCAAGUUUUCUAGGAUGAUGCAAUGUCCAGCCAUCAACACAUUUGUGAAGGAAUUUUUACUCCCCAAAAGAGCGCCCCCCCAUGGCAGGAGAAAAAAGUCCAUUUUUUCUUGUCCCCUAAGGUGAAAAUACACAUUGUUGAGUGUAACACCUGUACGCUUUGGCAAAAUGACACAAAAAUUGACACACACAUGUAUCUCAAUAAGAUCUACGAAAAAGUCAAUGCGCGCGUAUCUGUCAAAUGUACGGUUAAAGGGUUAUUCCGCAUUUUUUGCCGAUCCGCACACAUUGGAAUUUCGCUAACUCCUCCGAAG
This 2665-nucleotide long non-coding RNA is filed under the name Xyrichtys novacula (pearly razorfish). The record is from RNAcentral. Lineage: Eukaryota; Metazoa; Chordata; Actinopteri; Labriformes; Labridae.